This 385-nucleotide long non-coding RNA is filed under the name Prunus persica (peach). RNAcentral describes it as "long non-coding RNA (PPER_LNC000788)". Lineage: Eukaryota; Viridiplantae; Streptophyta; Magnoliopsida; Rosales; Rosaceae. The record is from RNAcentral.
UGAAACGUACAUAUAAUACAAAGGCCACCUCAACCUGGCAGCAUGCAAAAUAAAAUAACAAGCCAUGUGAAACUUACAGAAGACAAAAUUUAUAAAGAGGUCACCUCAAACUUACAUAAUACAAUCUUAACAAAGACGGCACCUGCAGCUUACAUUAUACAUAUGUACCAAAGAGGCCCCCUCAAACUUACAGAAAACAAUCGAAAUAAAUAAAAAGGGCACCUCAUACGUAUAUAUUACAAAAAGAGGGCACGUCAAAAAUUCCACUGUACUGGGUUUGUCCCCAAUAGUAGCCAUAGUAACAUUACAAGGCAAACCUUAUGGCUGUGGCCGAAUUUCGAGUUGCAUACCCGUCAAAUGCGGCGACCGCGACCCAUUAAGUUCA